AGGGAGGCCCUACGUCACUGCGGUUAGGGAGGCUCCUCCCCACUGGCUGGUGGCUAGCUCCUCAGGCCGUCAGGCAGCCCGCCUCCUGUCGCCGUGGCGACCGACUGUGUUGUGGACUGUCCCGGGCCCACCAGAUCCCUGCCCCCUCGCUGGGGCACUGCCUCUCCCCCGCAUCCGGGGAGGGUGCCCAGCUCUGUCAUUCAACUGCCGGUAUGGGGCCUAGUGUCGAGCAGAGUGGCCUACCAUUUGUGGCUUAGAGGGGUCCCCUGGAGAUGAACAGCGUUGCCCGUCUCUGGAGGGUUGGGUUGCCAUGAGUGGCACCGGGGUGGGUAGUUACCAGUUGGGGUGGGUGACACACAGGAGUGGCCCCGGGGAUGAAUAGUUACCAGGGUGCUGUUGGGGUGGGUGACACAGGGGUGGCCCCAGGAUGGGUAGUAACUAGGGCACAUUUGAGGUAGGUGACACAGGAGUGGCCCAAGGAUAGGUAGUUACCAGGGCGCUGUUGGGGUGGGUGACACACAGGAGUGGCCCAAGGAUAGGUAGUUACCAGGGCGCUGUUGGGGUGGGUGACACACAGGAGUGGCCCAAGGAUAGGUAGUUACCAGGGCGCUGUUGGGGUGAGUGACACACAGGAGUGGCCCAAGGGAUAGGUAGUUACCAGGGCGCUGUUGGGGUGGGUGACACAGGAGUGACCCAGGGUGGGUAGUUACCAGGGCGCUGUUGAGGUGAGUGACAUACAGGAGUGGCCCAAGAGAUAGGUAGUUACCAGGGCGCUGUUUGGGAGGGUGACACAGGAGUGGCCCCAGGCUGAAGCACCAGGGCUGACCUGAAGUCCUGGUAAGGGGAAAAAGGGGAUAAGCGGCUCAAGAUGUCAAAUUUGAUUGUGGGUGGCCGCUAGGCGCUGGAGCUGGAGCACACAGGGUUAAAGAGCGCCCUUCUCGGGGUCUCCCCUCCUCAACACCCCGUCCCUUCCGGGGGAUUUCGGGCCCCAGCCCCUCUGACGUCAGUGGGGUUGCUAUGGCAACCGCCCGACUUUCCCAAAUAAAAUUACUGCGGGCGAGCAAAGUUUCCUGGAGUCGGCUGCGGAGUAAACAAUGGCAGGGGCGGGGCUCGGCGCGGGGGUCCCGAGGCCGGAGCUGGGGAUCCCUGUCCCAGGCCUCUGGGAGAUGGGUCCGGACAAGGGAACUGAGCGAGCGGACGCCCGGGCGGCUCCCACGCGUGCACUUCCUGUCGCCGGCUGCGGGAGGAGAUGUCAAACACCUGCCUAGAACCUGGGAGUUUAGCAAAAUUGGCAAUGCACCUGCCGCUGACUUUGGACUGCCACCCCUACCCAAGCAAGCUGCUCCAGAAGAGCCGAUUUGACUCUUAAGGUCCAGGUCCAGUUCCCACCAGCCUUUCUACAGACAUACAGGGGAGUAACCUGCUCUGGUGCCUCCACAGACCAACCUUGAGUGUACUGCCUGCACAGAGUUCUGCGGCCUCAGUUUCCCCACUUAUUAAAAGCAGGAGGAAGAGGCUACCUCCGGACCGGUUUGAGAAUUCCAUGUAUCAAAAGUGAGUCAAAGGCUAGCACACCCCAAGAACCCAGCCCGUUCUCACAAGGAGGGGCAGGGUGUAGGUGCCGAGUCAAUGGUUGUACCCGGCAGGAUAUGGCAGUCAGAGCAACGUGGGCACUCCCAAAAGACCACUCCAGCCUGAGAAGGGCCUUCUCUCCUUGAGACCUUGGAGCCUUCUCAGCAGCGACACAGACAAGUAUAACAGGCCUGGGGGCACCCAGAAGCCUCCACAUGGGGGCAAGAUUUAAGAAGGGGCCAGAUACGGGACACAUACCUUUAGUCCUAGCACUCAGGCAAGUCACUUUCCCUUUGUUCAAAGCUAGCCUGAGCUACAUAUUGAGGCCCAAGCCUGCCAGGAAUGCAGAACCAGAUUCCCAUGAGUACCUGGAGAGAGCAACAGCCACUCUUCUUCCAGAGGACCCAGGUUCAAUUCCCAGCACCCACAUGGCUGCUGACAAGCAUCUAUAACUCCAGCUCCAGAGGCCCAGUCGUUCUCUUAGACAUGCACACAGGCAAAACACCAGUAUGUAAUAAUAAAUAAAUGUGAAUGAAUAAAUAAAACUUUAAAGAUUUAAUAAAACAUAA
RNAcentral lists this small RNA (2141 nucleotides) under Rattus norvegicus (Norway rat). RNAcentral's name for it is "uncharacterized LOC102548759". The record is from RNAcentral. Lineage: Eukaryota; Metazoa; Chordata; Mammalia; Rodentia; Muridae.